Molecule: long non-coding RNA, 880 nt
Filed under: Mytilus galloprovincialis (Mediterranean mussel)
Lineage: Eukaryota; Metazoa; Mollusca; Bivalvia; Mytilida; Mytilidae
Source: RNAcentral
CAUAGCUCUUAUCCUGUGAAUCUUUGGGUUUAUCAUGGUCGAAGUAUUAAUUUUAAAUAAUUAUUUGCAAUGACAAAAACAUAAUGUAUUGGAGCACCAAAAGAAAGACAAAAUAGAGAGUUUACUUGAAAUUAUUUUUAGCAUAUUUUACCUAAAGAUCUUAUUUUUCCAUAGAUAAAACAAAUGGACAUCUUAUUGUGAUAUCUAUAUUCUACUCGUACCACAUUAAACGGGAGUAUUUUAUGAUCAAGUGAUAAAGCAACUGUUGAAAAGCAGGGUACGGUUUGACACCAAUUCUAUGCAGCACAUUGUAUUUGAGUUAUGUUUUACAUAUGCAGUACUAGUAUAUCAUUUGCUCCAAAAAUAAAUGCUGCGUUUAUGCUGAUUAACAUGCUGAUAGAACAUGUAGAAUGUAAUGAAAACGUUCUAAAAAGUCAAUAUUGAAAAGAAGCAACAUUGAUAAACUGGACCCAAAUAAUUUUUAUAACAUCUUUGCACUAAAUCUGCUGCAUGUGUAAUUAUUGAUACUUAUUCAUAUUAAUAACACCAUAUAUUCUAUCAUCCUUUUAAAGAGAAACGUUGAAAUUUAAACUUUUACUCUGUGAAAACUUACUGAUUUAAUUAAAAUUAUGUUUUUGUUAAAUAGCAAAGUGACACAUUUUCAAAUAAUCUCUUGUUAACAUGUUAAAAAAAUUCGGGGAUAACGUUAUUUCGAAAUUGUAAACAUGCAUUGCAAAUUUUAACUGUUUAAAAAUACAAUAGAAUUGAUGCUGUUUUUCUUAAAAUUCAGCUUGUAUCACGUGGUAUAAUUUUAAAUUAAUAUUAUGCAUUUACCUCGACAAUUGGAUGUAAAAACAAUAAUUUUCAAGAAAAAACUUUU